UAGGGGGUUUGUUAAGUUCCAAGUAAAAUCUUAAGGCUCAACUUUAAGUUCGCUUGGAAAACUAAUAAACUGGAGUCCAGCAGAGGUGCAUGGAACUUGCGGUGUAGGAGUGAAAUCCGUUGAUAUCGCAAGGAACACCAAAGGCGAAGGCAUUGCACUGGGCUGGUACUGACCCUGAGAGACGAAAGCGUGGGGAGCAAAACGGAUUAGAUACCCGUGUAGUCCACGCCGUAAACGAUGGAUACUAGAUGUUCGGGGAUUCGACCCCCUGGGUGUCACAGCUAACGCGUUAAGUAUCCCGCCUGGGAAGUACGGCCGCAAGGCUAAAACUCAAAGGAAUAGACGGGGAUCCGCACAAGCGGUGGAGCGUCUGGUUUAAUUUGAUAGUAAGCAAUGGACCUCACCAAGGUUUGACAUCCUAUGACAACCCUGGAAACAGGGCUUCCUUCGGGCAUAGUGACAGGUGCUGCAUGGUCGUCGUCAGUUCGUGCCGUGAGGUGUUCCGUUAAGUCGGGAAACGAACGAAACCCUCGUCGCAUGUUACAAAUUUCAUGCGAGACUGCCCGGGUCAACCGGGAGGAAGGCGGGGAUGACGUCAGAUCAGCAUGGCCCUUAUACCUUGGGCUACACAGGCGCUACAAUGGCCGGUACAAAGGGUUGCAAAACCGCGAGGUGAAGCUAAUCCCAUAAAGCCGGUCCAAGUUCGGAUUGGAGGCUGCAACUCGCCUCCAUGAAGUUG
This 739-nucleotide ribosomal RNA is filed under the name uncultured organism. RNAcentral describes it as "bacterial SSU rRNA". It matches the Rfam family "Bacterial small subunit ribosomal RNA", at positions 572 to 1328 of the family's 1533-position model. The record is from RNAcentral.